CUCAGGAUGAACGCUAGCGGCAGGCCUAAUACAUGCAAGUCGAGCGGCAAGUCGAGGAGUAAUCUGAGACCUAGAGCGGCGCACGGGUGCGUAACGCGUAUGCAACCUACCCUUUACCGGGGGAUAGCCCGGGGAAACCCGGAUUAAUACCCCAUAGUAUACAGAGACUGCAUGGUUUUUAUAUUAAAGAUUCAUCGGUAAGGGAUGGGCAUGCGUAGGAUUAGUUAGUUGGCGGGGUAACGGCCCACCAAGACUGUGAUCCUUAGGGGUUCUGAGAGGAAGGUCCCCCACACUGGCACUGAGAUACGGGCCAGACUCCUACGGGAGGCAGCAGUAGGGAAUAUUGGGCAAUGGGCGGGAGCCUGACCCAGCCAUGCCGCGUGCAGGAAGAAGGCGUUAUGCGUUGUAAACUGCUUUUAUACGGGAAGAAAAGGCCCAUGCGUGGGACAUUGCCGGUACCGUAUGAAUAAGCACCGGCUAACUCCGUGCCAGCAGCCGCGGUAAUACGGAGGGUGCAAGCGUUGUCCGGAUUUAUUGGGUUUAAAGGGUGCGUAGGCGGCCCGUUAAGUCAGCGGUGAAAGUCUGUGGCUCAACCAUAGAAGCGCCGUUGAUACUGAUGGGCUUGAGUGCCGUAUGGGUACAUGGAAUUGAUGGUGUAGCGGUGAAAUGCAUAGAUACCAUCAGGAACACCGAUAGCGUAGGCAUUGUACUGUGCGGCAA
This 720-nucleotide ribosomal RNA is filed under the name Aquiflexum sp. RNAcentral's name for it is "bacterial SSU rRNA". It matches the Rfam family "Bacterial small subunit ribosomal RNA", at positions 23 to 739 of the family's 1533-position model. Lineage: Bacteria; Pseudomonadati; Bacteroidota; Cytophagia; Cytophagales; Cyclobacteriaceae. The record is from RNAcentral.